UACGUAGGCAGCGAGCGUUGUUCGGAAUUACUGGGCGUAAAGAGUGUGUAGGCGGUGUUCCAAGUCUGGUGUGAAAUCUCCCGGCUCAACUGGGGGGUGCGCCGGAAACUGGAAUGCUAGAGGGUGGGAGAGGUAAGCGGAAUUCCUGGUGUAGCGGUGAAAUGCGUAGAUAUCAGGAGGAACACCUGUGGUGUAGACAGCUUACUGGACCACUUCUGACGCUGAGACACGAAAGCGUGGGUAGCAAACAGG
This 252-nucleotide ribosomal RNA is filed under the name uncultured bacterium. RNAcentral's name for it is "partial 16S ribosomal RNA". It matches the Rfam family "Bacterial small subunit ribosomal RNA", at positions 524 to 776 of the family's 1533-position model. The record is from RNAcentral.